RNAcentral lists this transfer RNA (69 nucleotides) under Diartiger fossulatus. RNAcentral's name for it is "tRNA-Gln". Lineage: Eukaryota; Metazoa; Arthropoda; Insecta; Coleoptera; Staphylinidae. The record is from RNAcentral.
UAUGUUUUAGUAUAAAAUGUAUAAAAGAUUUUGAUUCUUUUGGAGAUAGUUUUAAUCUAUCAAAUGUAA